Molecule: ribosomal RNA, 433 nt
Filed under: uncultured bacterium
Lineage: Bacteria
Description: partial 16S ribosomal RNA
Rfam family: Bacterial small subunit ribosomal RNA
Source: RNAcentral
AACGAACGCUGGCGGCAUGCCUAACACAUGCAAGUCGAACGAGACCUUCGGGUCUAGUGGCGCACGGGUGCGUAACGCGUGGGAACCUGCCCUUAGGUUCGGAAUAACUCCCCGAAAGGGGUGCUAAUACCGGAUAAUGUCUUCGGACCAAAGAUUUAUCGCCUUUGGAUGGGCCCGCGUUGGAUUAGCUAGUUGGUAGGGUAAAAGCCUACCAAGGCGACGAUCCAUAGCUGGUCUGAGAGGAUGAUCAGCCACACUGGGACUGAGACACGGCCCAGACUCCUACGGGAGGCAGCAGUGGGGAAUAUUGGAGAAUGGGCGAAAGCCUGAUCCAGCAAUGCCGCGUGAGUGAUGAAGGCAUUAGGGUUGUAAAGCUCUUUUACCCGGGAUGAUAAUGACAGUACCGGGAGAAUAAGCUCGGGCGAACUCCGUC